GGUGUCGGACUUCACUUUGAGCA
This 23-nucleotide non-coding RNA is filed under the name Arabidopsis thaliana (thale cress). The record is from RNAcentral. Lineage: Eukaryota; Viridiplantae; Streptophyta; Magnoliopsida; Brassicales; Brassicaceae.